Molecule: ribosomal RNA, 468 nt
Filed under: uncultured bacterium
Lineage: Bacteria
Description: partial 16S ribosomal RNA
Rfam family: Bacterial small subunit ribosomal RNA
Source: RNAcentral
GACGAACGCUGGCGGCGUGCUUAACACAUGCAAGUCGAACGGAAAGGCCCUGCUUUUGUGGGGUGCUCGAGUGGCGAACGGGUGGGUAACACGUGAGUAACCUGCCCUUGACUUUGGGAUAACUUCAGGAAACUGGGGCUAAUACCGGAUAGGAGCUCCUGCUGCAUGGUGGGGGUUGGAAAGUUUCGGCGGUUGGGGAUGGACUCGCGGCUUAUCAGCUUGUUGGUGGGGUAGUGGCUUACCAAGGCUUUGACGGGUAGCCGGCCUGAGAGGGGGACCGGCCACACUGCGACUGAGAUACGGCCGAGACUACCACGGGAGGCAGAAGUGGGGAAUAUUGCCCAAUGGGCGGAAGCCUGAUGCAGCAACGCCGCGUGCGGGAUGACGGCCUUCGGGUUGUAAACCGCUUUCGCCUGUGACGAAGCGUGAGUGACGGUAAUGGGUAAAGAAGCACCGGCUAACUACGUG